Bombus pascuorum is the source of this 216-nucleotide long non-coding RNA. RefSeq lists it as uncharacterized. The record is from RefSeq and is a predicted model, not a curated record. The transcript has 2 exons. Lineage: Eukaryota; Metazoa; Arthropoda; Insecta; Hymenoptera; Apidae.
AUUUUUUUUAAUUGCUCUUGUAAAUCUUCUGCACAUACAGAACAAGGAUAAAACUUGGAAAAUGUGUGAAAGAACUUUGACAUAUCCAACUUUUGUUCAUCAGUUGGAUUAUCAGGGUAAUAUGCUGCCAUGGUGGACUUUUCUUCUCUAUUUUCUCAGUUUCCUGACAUAAUAAAAUAUAUAUGUGAGAAUAAAUAAUCUAUUUCACAACAUAAA